GCAUAUCAUAGCGGAGAAAAGAAAAUAACAAUGAUUUCCCUAGUAACGGCGAGUGAAGAGGAAAGAGCUCAAAGUUGGAAACUGUUUGGCUUAGCUAAACCGUAUUGUAAACUGUAGAAACAUUUUUCCUGGCACGCCGGAUUAAUAAGUCCUUUGGAACAAGGCAUCAUGGAGGGUGAGAAUCCCGUCUUUGAUCCGAGUAGUUGUCUUUUGUGAUAUGUUUUCAAAGAGUCAGGUUGUUUGGGAAUGCAGCCUAAAUUGGGUGGUAAAUCUCACCUAAAGCUAAAUAUUUGCGAGAGACCGAUAGCGAACAAGUACCGUGAGGGAAAGAUGAAAAGAACUUUGAAAAGAGAGUUAAACAGUAUGUGAAAUUGUUAAAAGGGAACCGUUUGGAGCCAGACUGGUUUGACUGUAAUCAACCUAGAAUUCGUUCUGGGUGCACUUGCAGUCUAUACCUGCCAACAACAGUUUGAUUUGGAGGAAAAAAUUAGUAGGAAUGUAGCCUCUCGAGGUGUUAUAGCCUACUAUCAUACUCUGGAUUGGACUGAGGAACGCAGCGAAUGCCUUUAGGCAAGAUUGCUGGGUGCUUUCGCUAAUAAAUGUUAGAAUUUCUGCUUCGGGUGGUGCUAAUGUUUAAAGGAGGAACACAUCUAGUAUAUUUUUUAUUCGCUUAGGUUGUUGGCUUAAUGACUCUAAAUGACCCGUCUUGAAACACGGACCAAGGAGUCCACCAUAAGUGCAAGUAUUUGAGUGACAAACUCAUAUGCGUAAGGAAACUGAUUGAUACGAAAUCUUUUGAUGGCAGUAUCACCCGGCGUUGACGUUUUAUACUGAACUGACCGAGGUAAAGCACUUAUGAUGGGACCCGAAAGAUGGUGAACUAUUGCCUGAAUAGGGUGAAGCCAGAGGAAACUCUGGUGGAGGCUCGUAGCGAUUCUGACGUGCAAAUCGAUCGUCAAAUUUGGGUAUAGGGGGCGAAAGACUAAUCGAACCAUCUAGUAGCUGGGUUCUGCGA
This 1015-nucleotide ribosomal RNA is filed under the name Mucor circinelloides. RNAcentral describes it as "partial large subunit ribosomal RNA". It matches the Rfam family "Eukaryotic large subunit ribosomal RNA", at positions 38 to 963 of the family's 3401-position model. Lineage: Eukaryota; Fungi; Mucoromycota; Mucoromycetes; Mucorales; Mucoraceae. The record is from RNAcentral.